Molecule: ribosomal RNA, 1522 nt
Filed under: Shigella dysenteriae
Lineage: Bacteria; Pseudomonadati; Pseudomonadota; Gammaproteobacteria; Enterobacterales; Enterobacteriaceae
Description: bacterial SSU rRNA
Rfam family: Bacterial small subunit ribosomal RNA
Source: RNAcentral
AGAGUUUGAUCAUGGCUCAGAUUGAACGCUGGCGGCAGGCCUAACACAUGCAAGUCGAACGGUAACAGGAAACAGCUUGCUGUUUCGCUGACGAGUGGCGGACGGGUGAGUAAUGUCUGGGAAACUGCCUGAUGGAGGGGGAUAACUACUGGAAACGGUAGCUAAUACCGCAUAAUGUCGCAAGACCAAAGAGGGGGACCUUAGGGCCUCUUGCCAUCGGAUGUGCCCAGAUGGGAUUAGCUAGUAGGUGGGGUAACGGCUCACCUAGGCGACGAUCCCUAGCUGGUCUGAGAGGAUGACCAGCCACACUGGAACUGAGACACGGUCCAGACUCCUACGGGAGGCAGCAGUGGGGAAUAUUGCACAAUGGGCGCAAGCCUGAUGCAGCCAUGCCGCGUGUAUGAAGAAGGCCUUCGGGUUGUAAAGUACUUUCAGCGGGGAGGAAGGGAGUAAAGUUAAUACCUUUGCUCAUUGACGUUACCCGCAGAAGAAGCACCGGCUAACUCCGUGCCAGCAGCCGCGGUAAUACGGAGGGUGCAAGCGUUAAUCGGAAUUACUGGGCGUAAAGCGCACGCAGGCGGUUUGUUAAGUCAGAUGUGAAAUCCCCGGGCUCAACCUGGGAACUGCAUCUGAUACUGGCAAGCUUGAGUCUCGUAGAGGGGGGUAGAAUUCCAGGUGUAGCGGUGAAAUGCGUAGAGAUCUGGAGGAAUACCGGUGGCGAAGGCGGCCCCCUGGACGAAGACUGACGCUCAGGUGCGAAAGCGUGGGGAGCAAACAGGAUUAGAUACCCUGGUAGUCCACGCCGUAAACGAUGUCGACUUGGAGGUUGUGCCCUUGAGGCGUGGCUUCCGGAGCUAACGCGUUAAGUCGACCGCCUGGGGAGUACGGCCGCAAGGUUAAAACUCAAAUGAAUUGACGGGGGCCCGCACAAGCGGUGGAGCAUGUGGUUUAAUUCGAUGCAACGCGAAGAACCUUACCUGGUCUUGACAUCCACGGAAGUUUUCAGAGAUGAGAAUGUGCCUUCGGGAACCGUGAGACAGGUGCUGCAUGGCUGUCGUCAGCUCGUGUUGUGAAAUGUUGGGUUAAGUCCCGCAACGAGCGCAACCCUUAUCCUUUGUUGCCAGCGGUCCGGCCGGGAACUCAAAGGAGACUGCCAGUGAUAAACUGGAGGAAGGUGGGGAUGACGUCAAGUCAUCAUGGCCCUUACGACCAGGGCUACACACGUGCUACAAUGGCGCAUACAAAGAGAAGCGACCUCGCGAGAGCAAGCGGACCUCAUAAAGUGCGUCGUAGUCCGGAUUGGAGUCUGCAACUCGACUCCAUGAAGUCGGAAUCGCUAGUAAUCGUGGAUCAGAAUGCCACGGUGAAUACGUUCCCGGGCCUUGUACACACCGCCCGUCACACCAUGGGAGUGGGUUGCAAAAGAAGUAGGUAGCUUAACCUUCGGGAGGGCGCUUACCACUUUGUGAUUCAUGACUGGGGUGAAGUCGUAACAAGGUAACCGUAGGGGAACCUGCGGUUG